GACGAACGCUGGCGGCGUGCUUAACACAUGCAAGUCGAACGGAAAGGCCCUGCUUUUGUGGGGUGCUCGAGUGGCGAACGGGUGAGUAACACGUGAGUAACCUGCCCUUGACUUUGGGAUAACUUCAGGAAACUGGGGCUAAUACCGGAUAGGAGCUCCUGCUGCAUGGUGGGGGUUGGAAAGUUUCGGCGGUUGGGGAUGGACUCGCGGCUUAUCAGCUUGUUGGUGGGGUAGUGGCUUACCAAGGCUUUGACGGGUAGCCGGCCUGAGAGGGUGACCGGCCACAUUGGGACUGAGAUAAGGCCCAGACUCCUACGGGAGGCAGCAGUGGGGAAUAUUGCACAAUGGGCGGAAGCCUGAUGCAGCAACGCCGCGUGCGGGAUGACGGCCUUCGGGUUGUAAACCGCUUUCGCAUGUGACGAAGCGUGAGUGACGGUAAUGGGUAAAGAAGCACCGGCUAAAUACGUG
RNAcentral lists this ribosomal RNA (468 nucleotides) under uncultured bacterium. RNAcentral describes it as "partial 16S ribosomal RNA". It matches the Rfam family "Bacterial small subunit ribosomal RNA", at positions 28 to 507 of the family's 1533-position model. The record is from RNAcentral.